RNAcentral lists this ribosomal RNA (254 nucleotides) under uncultured bacterium. RNAcentral's name for it is "partial 16S ribosomal RNA". It matches the Rfam family "Bacterial small subunit ribosomal RNA", at positions 524 to 776 of the family's 1533-position model. The record is from RNAcentral.
CACGGAGGGUGCGAGCGUUGUCCGGAAUUAUUGGGCGUAAAGAGCUCGUAGGCGGUGUGUCGCGUCGGCCGUGAAAACUUGGGGCUUAACUCUGAGCUUGCGGUCGAUACGGGCAUCACUGGAGUUCGGCAGGGGAGACUGGAAUUCCUGGUGUAGCGGUGAAAUGCGCAGAUAUCAGGAGGAACACCGGUGGCGAAGGCGGGUCUCUGGGCCGAUACUGACGCUGAGGAGCGAAAGCGUGGGGAGCGAACAGG